This 278-nucleotide ribosomal RNA is filed under the name uncultured bacterium. RNAcentral's name for it is "partial 16S ribosomal RNA". It matches the Rfam family "Bacterial small subunit ribosomal RNA", at positions 78 to 353 of the family's 1533-position model. The record is from RNAcentral.
UCUAAGUUUGAUGGCGACCGGCGCACGGGUGAGUAACACGUAUCCAACCUGCCGAUGACUCGGGGAUAGCCUUUCGAAAGAAAGAUUAAUACCCGAUGGCAUAGUUCUUCCGCAUGGUGGAACUAUUAAAGAAUUUCGGUCAUCGAUGGGGAUGCGUUCCAUUAGGUUGUUGGCGGGGGUAACGGGCCCACCAAGCCUUCGAUGGAUAGGGGUUCUGAGAGGAAGGUCCCCCACAUUGGAACUGAGACACGGUCCAAACUCCUACGGGAGGCAGCAUG